This is a long non-coding RNA of Metopolophium dirhodum (rose-grain aphid), 2758 nucleotides long. RefSeq lists it as uncharacterized. NCBI's taxonomy places the organism in Eukaryota, Metazoa, Arthropoda, Insecta, Hemiptera, Aphididae. The record is from RefSeq and is a predicted model, not a curated record. The transcript is spliced from 4 exons.
UCGUUCUGUUGACGAGUGUUCAUUAGCUUAAAUAUAUUUUGUGCUUAUUAAUCCAUCUUCAUGUGUGCUCAAUACAGGAACAUCAUUAAAUGCUGACUGCACAGUAUAAAUACCAUUUAAUGCUGUGUGGUCGUCAACAAAAUUGAACCAAUUGAUAUGUCUGAAUUAAUAGAAGCAAUAGUCAAUUUACUUUCAAAAACGUUUGCUACAAGUUCUAUGUCUAUAACAUUACAACAAAAACUCAAACAUUACCUCUCCUCUACUACAUAGUAUUGUUCUACAUAAAUUAGUUUAACACGUAAUCUUCUGUCCAACUCAAGUUGUUGUGUGUAUAAUAUGGAAGCUAUAUCACAGCAAAGAUUGUUACAGUAAAACACGGAGCAACUUCAACAUCACACAUGCAAGACAAAUUAUCAUCUAAUUCAGUUAUCCAUCAAGAAUUCAUUGACAAUCAACUUACAUUAUUAAAACCUAUCCCUCCCACAAAUUAAUCAAACUCAUCCGAAUUCUCAGAAGUAAAGAGACCAUUAAUUACAAAAUGUAUUUCAUUAGAAUGAAAGUCAGAUACCCAUGAUUUCAAUUCAGAUAAUAAUACAAAUGCUUCGCAAUGUAAGAUAAUUAAUGAUGGCAAUACUAAAUAAUUUAAAAAGGAAGAUAACGGAUUCGUUUAUGAAAUGUCUAAUACUGUUGAACUUCCUCGGUUUUUUUGGAAUAGUCUACAACUUAGUGCACACAAUGCGACAGCUUUUAGUCAAUAAUUUUUUUUUGAAGAAACAGUGUAAAAACUUCAUUUUUAUAAUAGCCUUGUGCCAGUUAUACAAAUAUAUGGAAAAAAGUUCAAAUAUAAUAAGCCUGUUACAACAAAGAAUGAGUUGGAAAAUCUUUUAGAAAAAAUAGAUAAUAUUGAAAAAUGUUCUGGUUUGGUUUUAUCUAUAAAAAAUGUAUAGGUUAUUUUGAAGAUAGUUCAGAAGAUAUUUAUACCUUUAUUACUUGGGUAUCAUCAUGGACCAGAGGUUUACGUUUGCCAAACACAUGGAAAUUGUCACCAAAUAACCCUCCUGCCCAGCGGCCGCACUGGCUAGGCUCAUGGCCAACGUUAGAGAUCCAUGCCAGUGAAAUCGGAGACUGUUGUGUUCAGUAGUCGAGAGCCAGGUGUUGUACCUGUUUGGAUAAAUCGAGUGGUUGUCUCGGGCAGGACAAGGUCUAUACUGAUAAUACCGCAGAAGACAGCAGUCCUUAGGGUCAUCUCAGCGUACCGUACAGUUUCCGACGAGGCAUCGCUAUUUCUGACUGUCAUGCCACCGGCCGACCUCCUAAGCCUGGAGAGGUUGAAAAUUAGGGCUUGCCUGCACGCUCUUAUCCUUCCCGGAGAUUCACCUGAUCUGUCCAAGUAUUCUGUCAGAAGGAACGCAAGACGACGGUUGUCCAAGUAUAUGUCACGUCAUUCCUGUUGUCGGAAGUGGAUAGGAAGAACGAUACCGAAGAUGCAACUGACAUAUCACAUGACCCGGGAAUGGCUGCUUCCAGCACUACCUGCACCAGAUGGGUAGGGCUGCCAGUGCAUGGUGUAAUCACUAUGGCAGCAAAGCCAACACUUCCGAAUACACAUUGUGGCGCACCUCAAGCCGCUUACUGACCUCUGAGUCUUUCAACUAAAACUGUGUGGUCUUGAUUUAGAGGGUCUACCCUCUGACUAGGAACAAAAGAUGACAGUCCUCACGGACGCUGAAGAAUUUCCGGGUGUUCUACGCGAUGUUGGAAAAAAUCCUGACUGCAAAGAAUGGCAAGGCAGACGGCCGAGAGGAGGUGACACGAUCCUUCCGCUAAGCGUCUGACGACUCCCCUCCCACCAAGGAGUACGAGUCAAAAGAGUGGUGUACUUAUGCCGGCUCGCAAACAGGCAGUCAGAAUGGAACGUCAAGGACGGAGGGCUAAGGCUUAAGAUUUGAAGUAAAUAUGUAAAAGUUCACUGAAAGUAAAUAUUAUGCAAAAUCUAUAUUGCGUCAUCUAAAUCAAUAAUAGGUGCAUUGCACUUUCAAUAACUGGAAGCCUGCUCGUCGUUUCAUUUAUUUCUCGGGACCACAUUGCCACAGUCAAUGCAUCAUUAGCUAAUUUUUUAGAUUCUUUCAAUAUUCCUAGACCUGGUGGAAUUUGAUGAUCAAUCUAAAAGUGAAUUGCUUCUUCUCAAGGGAAACAUUGAAAGGCUGUUGAAAAUUAAUAGAAGUUUUAUUAACAUGUGUCUAUCAAUAUGUGAUGAAUAGAAUUCAAGAUGGCAACCAAAUUGGCUGUAAUACAUUCACUCUGAAAAGUGGAAUAUUCUUUUACUUCCAAUUAUGUUUAUAGCAAUUUAAUGCUAGACAUAGUUUAUCGGGAACAUAUUUGAGACAUUGUAAUCAUCCUGAUCCUAUAGCAAUUCUAUACCAAGGAGAACCAUUUUUAUGUGCUAACUUUGUUCAAUUUAAAUGCCAAUUAGCCACAGCCUUGGCACAUUAGCUGUGGGAUUAAAGUUUGUUUGCCAAGGCUGAGGUAUUUAGACUGUUCCAAGUUGACUUAUAAAAACAACAGACCUUGUCACAUCAGAGUUGUCACUAUUUCAGAACAAUAAGAUUAUAUGAAAUAUAACCCCAAAAAUAGAUGGGUAUUGAGAUAAAAUUAUAACGUGAUUUAACCAACUAAUGAAUAAAAAUGUUGUUUGCAGUAAUUAGAUUUUUAAAUUAAAAUUGAUCUGUUUAUUUUUUUUUUAUUUGUCAUAUUUUAA